CGUAGGGUGCAGGCGUUAAUCGGAAUUACUGGGCGUAAAGCGUGCGCAGGCGGUUUCUUAAGUCAGAUGUGAAAGCCCCGGGCUUAACCUGGGAACUGCGUUUGAAACUGGGAGACUAGAGUGUGGCAGAGGGGGGUGGAAUUCCACGUGUAGCAGUGAAAUGCGUAGAUAUGUGGAGGAACACCGAUGGCGAAGGCAGCCCCCUGGGCUAACACUGACGCUCAUGCACGAAAGCGUGGGGAGCAAACAGGAUUAGAUACCCUGGUAGUCCACGCCCUAAACGAUGUCAACUGGUUGUCGGGGGAUUAAUUCCCUUGGUAACGAAGCUAACGCGUGAAGUCGACCGCCUGGGGAGUACGGCCGCAAGGUUA
RNAcentral lists this ribosomal RNA (371 nucleotides) under uncultured organism. RNAcentral's name for it is "bacterial SSU rRNA". It matches the Rfam family "Bacterial small subunit ribosomal RNA", at positions 526 to 896 of the family's 1533-position model. The record is from RNAcentral.